UCUACGGGAGGCAGCAGUGGGGAAUAUUGCACAAUGGGGGAAACCCUGAUGCAGCGACGCCGCGUGAGUGAAGAAGUAAUUCGUUAUGUAAAGCUCUAUCAGCAGGGAAGAAAAUGACGGUACCUGAGUAAGAAGCCCCGGCUAACUACGUGCCAGCAGCCGCGGUAAUACGUAGGGGGCAAGCGUUAUCCGGAUUUACUGGGUGUAAAGGGAGCGUAGACGGCAGUGCAAGUCUGGAGUGAAAGGCGGGGGCUCAACCCCCGGACUGCUCUGGAAACUGCGCGGCUGGAGUGCAGGAGGGGCAGGCGGAAUUCCUGGGGUAGCGGUGAAAUGCGUAGAUAUCAGGAGGAACACCGGUGGCGAAGGCGGCCUGCUGGACUGCGACUGACGUUGAGGCCCGAAAGCGUGGGGAGCAAACAGGAUUAGAUACCCGUGUAGUC
This 440-nucleotide ribosomal RNA is filed under the name uncultured bacterium. RNAcentral's name for it is "partial 16S ribosomal RNA". It matches the Rfam family "Bacterial small subunit ribosomal RNA", at positions 338 to 795 of the family's 1533-position model. The record is from RNAcentral.